GGGGGUAGAUGUGAGUCAGUGAUAGACCAUCUGGUUUGUAUGCAGAAGGCCCCAGGUUCAAUCCCUGCGGUCCCA
Molecule: transfer RNA, 75 nt
Filed under: Sphaerodactylus townsendi
Lineage: Eukaryota; Metazoa; Chordata; Lepidosauria; Squamata; Sphaerodactylidae
Description: tRNA-Thr
Source: RNAcentral